UUUGAAAUCUGGCUCCACUGGAGUCCGAGUUGUAAUUUGUAGAAGAUGCUUUGGGUUGUGGGUUCGGCCUAAGUUCCUUGGAACAGGACGUCAUAGAGGGUGAGAAUCCCGUAUGUGGCCGAGGCCCGCGCCUAUGUAAAGCUCUUUCAACGAGUCGAGUUGUUUGGGAAUGCAGCUCAAAAUGGGUGGUAAAUUUCAUCUAAAGCUAAAUAUGGGCCAGAGACCGAUAGCGCACAAGUAGAGUGAUCGAAAGAUGAAAAGCACUUUGGAAAGAGAGUUAAACAGUACGUGAAAUUGUUGAAAGGGAAGCGCUUGCACCCAGACUUGGGCGCUGCUGAUCACCUUGAGGUCUCCUCGAGUGCACUCGACAGCGCACAGGCCAGCAUCGGUUCGGGUGGCUGGAUAAAGGCCGUAGGAACGUAGCUCCUUUCGGGGAGUGUUAUAGCCUACGGUGCCAUGCAGCCCAGCCGGACCGAGGACCGCGCCUUCGGGCUAGGAUGCUGGCGUAAUGGGUGUAAGCGACCCGUCUUGAAA
This 534-nucleotide ribosomal RNA is filed under the name Erysiphe intermedia. Its description in RNAcentral is "partial large subunit ribosomal RNA". It matches the Rfam family "Eukaryotic large subunit ribosomal RNA", at positions 114 to 659 of the family's 3401-position model. The record is from RNAcentral. Lineage: Eukaryota; Fungi; Ascomycota; Leotiomycetes; Helotiales; Erysiphaceae.